CACCUAAAAGGUAUUAUUAAUUUAUCAGCCCAUUACACUAAAGCUAUAUCCAUUUACAUUUGUCUCUUGAAAUGAGUACAAUCUAAAUCUCUUAACAAGGAUCCAUUGGAGGGCAAGUCUGGUGCCAACAGCUGCAGUAAUUCUAGCUCUAAUAAGUCACAUCAAAGUUGUUGCAGUUAAAAAGCUUGUAGUUGGAUCUCGGGAUGGGGCGAAUGGUCUGCCCUUGCGGGUGUGCAUUGGUCCCCCCGUCCUUUGAGUCGGUGAUGCUACUCUGGUCUUUAUUGGUUGGGGUGUAGAGUCGGCAAUGUUACUUUGAAAAAAUUAGAGUGCUCAAAGUAGGUUUGUGCUUUGAAUACAUUAUCAUGGAAUAACACUAUAGCACUCUAGUCCUGUUGUGUUGGUCUUCAGGAUCAGAGUAAUGGUUAAUAGGGACAAUUAGGGGCAUUCGUACUCCAUUGUUAGAGGUGAAAUUCUUGGAUUUAUGGAAGACAAACUUUGCCAAGGAUGUUUUCAUUAAUCAAGAAUGAAAGUUGGGGGCUCGACAAUGAUCAGAUACUAUCCUAGUCUCAACCAUAAAUGAUGCCAAUUAGGGAUUGGCAGAUGUUAUUUGGAUGACACUGCCAGCACCUCAUGAGAAAUCAAAGUCUUUGGGUUCCAGGGGGAGUAUGGUCACAAGGCUGAAACUUAAAGGAAUUGAUGGAAGGGCACCACCAGGAGUGGAGCCUGCAGCUUAAUAUAACUCAAAUCGGGGAAACUUACCAAGUCUAGACAUAGUAAGGAUUGAUAGAUUGAGAGCUCUUUCUUGAUUCUAUGGGUGGUGGUGCAUGGCUGUUCUUAGUUGGUGAAGUGAUUUGUCUGGUUAAUUCCGUUAAUGAACAAGACCUCAGCCUGCUAGCUAGCUACUUGGAAGUUUCCUCCAAGGCCAACUUCUUAGAGGGACUAUUCACUUCCAGCGGAUGGAAGCUUGAGGCAAUAACAGGUUUGUAAUGCCCUUAAAUGUUUUGGGCCAUACGUGCGCUACACUAAUGAACUCAACGAGUGCAUGUCUGUGUCAAAAGGCUGAGGUAAUUUUUAAAAAUUUCAUUAUGAUGGGGAUAGAUCAUUGCAAUUAUUGAUCUUCAACAAGGAAUUCCUAGUAAACGCAAGUCAUCAGCUCGCAUUGACUACGGCCCUGCCCUUUGUACACACUGCCCAUCGCUCCUACCGAUUGAAUGAUCCAGUGAAGUGUUCGGAUUGCAGCGAUGCUGAUGGUUCGCUGCUGAUGACACAGUAAGUUCAUUAAACCUUAUCAUUUAGAGGAAGGAGAAGUCAUAACAAGGUUUCCAUAGGUGAACCUGUGGAAGGAUCAUUG
Molecule: ribosomal RNA, 1351 nt
Organism: Selaginella moellendorffii
Lineage: Eukaryota; Viridiplantae; Streptophyta; Lycopodiopsida; Selaginellales; Selaginellaceae
Rfam family: Eukaryotic small subunit ribosomal RNA
Source: Rfam